Sander lucioperca (pikeperch) is the source of this 5211-nucleotide long non-coding RNA. RefSeq lists it as uncharacterized. Lineage: Eukaryota; Metazoa; Chordata; Actinopteri; Perciformes; Percidae. The record is from RefSeq and is a predicted model, not a curated record. The transcript has 4 exons.
GAGGGGGGGGGGGGAGAGAGAGGAGGGGACCAGCUACGCAACGCAGCAGCUCCGCACGCACACUGUCAUCCGAGGAGAUGUUGGGAUGCAGGAGUAGAUGCUGGCAGCAGUAUCGCCUCGGCCUCGGGUUGUCUCUGGUCACUGAAGCAAAAGUAAUGGCAGUGUUUUAAAAAAAAAAAAAAAACACUUCUGUGGGUUGGAUCAACUCAUUGUGCAGGUUUAAUCUCAGUCAGUGAAGGCGUGCAACGUUUGGGUUUCUCCCUGGAAUUCUGGCUCUUACACUUGAGAGAUGCUGGUACAAACUCGCGUUAAAAUACUGAAUGGACUUGAACCGGAGGUGCGGGAUUUAUUCAAAGUUUAUGGCUUGAAUCUGUGGAGUGCAGACACACAGAAAUACACAUCUGCAAGACACCAGGUCAAAGGAGACACGCACCACCUCCUGCUCUAAGGGUCAGAGGUCACAGAGUGGGUCAAAACAGACUUCAUCACUCCAAAGUUACCGUAUACAGCAGGAAGAGGAGGAGGAGGCAGUGGAGGAGGAAAAAGAGAAGCAGAGUGGGUGGAAGGAUGGAAGGAGAGAAGGAUAGAAGCAGUUCGAGGAGGUGGUUCGAAGCGGGUGAACCCAGAGCAGGUGAACACAGCUGUGGAUCGCCAUGGGCUCUCUGGCUGCCCUCCUUCUGUGGCCUCGGCGCUGCAUACAGGGGGUCCCGGGGAGCCGGCAGGGGCCAGCCAAAGCUGCGGCAGAGUGGGCAGGCUAGGCCAGCCAAGCCAGGAGAGAAGCAGGUGAGGCGGGUGAGCCAAGCUCUCAUCCCCGCCGGCUAGGAGCCUUCGCGGCAGAGCGGAGCAGUGCGGAGCAGCAGAAAUCAAUACAGAGGAGAGAGGCUAGCAGAGGUUGCCCAGCACCGCCUGCAGGCCACGGAGCCCAGGGACCAACCACCACCACUACUGCUCCCAGCUCCUCUCUCCAUCUCUCUUUCUAUCUUUCUCUAACAGUCCCAGCACCAGCCAGGGCCAGGGCCUUAACCGCCCCACACGCAGUGUGUGUGUCAGUAGGUGCAUGUGUGUGUGUGUGUGUGGAGGGGAGAGACAGAGAGAGGGAAGAGACAGAGAGAGAGAGAGAGAGAGAGAGAGAGAGAGAGUCUUUGUGUGUGGUUCAGCCGGAGGGUUUUUUCGCUGCGUCCAACACCACUUGAUGAAACUUCGUCAGAGAGACACAGAGACAGCGAGGGAGGGAGAGAAACCGAAGAAGAAUAAGACAGGACGUCGAAGGUCGCUUUUCUUCCAGCUCCCUCCCUCUUAUUACUCAUUCCACCUUAACUGUUUGAUAAGGAUCCAUCGGAGACGGUAUACAGGACAUUCCUGCUCAGUCCCACUUCCCAGCAUGUAGCGCACAAUAUUCCUAAGAUCUCAUGAGCCAGGAUGAAAGGACAAUUUGAACUUUUUCCCUCAUCCAUUGUAUCAGACUCAACCUGUCUUUUUGCCUUAGAUUUUCUUACCCUCACUACAGCAGCUCCCAUCAGAGGAUAUGGCAGUGCAGUAUUGAUCUAUAAGGUGGAAGAGAGGAAGGCGGGCCCGGGCUUUUCAUACCUCUCUCCCUGUGUGUGUGGAAAUAGCACCUGAAGUCCACUUACUGCUGUGCAGCAGGGAUCCCAUGGCAGCACAAGCGAAUGGCUGCUAAUUGAAUGAGAGAUGAAAAGGACAGUAGUUGUACCUGCUCAGUGCCCCCCCCGCCCCCUCCUCCUGUCUAAUACUACUCGGUUUUUCAUCUGACUUUUUUUCUCCUCUACGUUUACAAAAGUCCUUCUCCACACAAAGAGACUCGCUCUUCAGAUGUUUUAGCAGAAUUGGUGGUGACUAAAGAAAAUUGGCAAAAUCUUCAGGAAGGAAAAAAAAAACUGACUUCAGUGUAGAGGUGAAAGCCUUCAGUAGAAUUUCUUCAUGCAGUGGUAGAAACAUCUGGCUGAGAAAAAGUUUUGAGAGGUCAUGCCACAAAACGUACUGUACUGUAGAUAUUUGUGGACUUGGAAGGACAUUACAGGACAGAUGAACAGUUUUCCAAGCAUGAAAACUUGCUGCGAUUACAACAGGAUUCAUACCUCUUGAUGCAGCCAGUCAGGAUUGCCACCAUGGAGAUGAAAAACAACGAUUGGCCAUUGGACCCUACUCUAACAAAGCACGUACACUGUCUGUAGCCAAUUUCUCCGAACGUUUAGCGCUUAGCCUCCUCGGACACUUAUGGAAAAUGUCAUCUCUACACCUGCAAGAACAGUCAGUUAGACACACAUCAUUAGAGUCUGGUUAUCAUUCGUCUAGUCUGCAGUCUUUGUGGAUGUGGACAGGUAAGUUGGAGCCGCUUCUAAAAGGUAAGUUUAAAAGGUUGAAUCAAUUUUACUGCUGUCUGAAGUGUAAAAUAGAGCUGCCGAGCAAUAUUUUCCAAAAUUAGUUUCAUUAGAUAUGAAUUACUAUAUUUGAGAGCAAUUUUAGAUCGGAGAUUGGAUGAGACCCCAAGGGAUCCUUCUUUUCACUCAGUAGUUUACAUUCAAGUAUUUGACUGGAAAAUCGUGUGUUGCUCUUUUAACUUUCCUCUUUUCUGUGGGACAUUAUGUACACAGACAUAUGUAUAUAUUCUUUUUCAUAGCGUAAUGAGCUCCUUUAUCAUAAAAUGAUCCCAGAAUCCCAAGUGUUGCCCUGAUAUGAUAUAUAUUUUCAAUAAAGUUGAGCAAUUUGUGAAAUGAAAAUUUGUCUUGGUUGUUUUUUUCCCUCUGCUAUUAGAUUCUUGUUUCUAUAUACUGUAUGUCAGUGAUGUUUGUUUUGUUGCUGAGAUUAUACAGUAGCUGAACUAUACAGUUAAAGGAUACGUUUGGUGAUAUUCUAUAUUUUUCUCAGUGUCAACAAAUUCCAUGAAAAGACCAACUUCCUAUGUGUCCAAAGCCUAAUAUAUCUGAUUCCUCUGUGCCAUAGACAUCCAUUGUUGUAAAAACAAAAAACUAUUAAAAACACAUCAAUGAGACACGUCAUUUCUCAUUUCACUGGGUGACAAUGUCCGUCAUUGCAAUGAACGGGGUCACUGUAGUUUAUGUUUAUUAGUUUAUUUAAAUCAAUCCCAUAUACUGUCCUAGUGCCGUCAAUACUCCAAAAAUGUAUUAAUUGGCAGCUGAAAGUAGUCCCAAACAAAUACAGUAUUUAUUUCUAUUUAAAUGACGUUUGCUAAAAACUACAGUACCCUGCUGUUUUAGCCAUUUUCUUUUGCCGACAAGUAUCAUCUAAUAUUUGGUAUGAGAAGCUAUAGGAGCCUGUUCUCUCUGAUUAUUCUAGCAGUGGCUGAAGGGUUGGAAGGGGAACAGUUAAACCUAGUGGCCUAAAUCUGUGGUGUCAAUUAGGUGCCUUUGUGUGUGAGCAGCAGGGGUGUUGAAGCGAGUUGCUGGAGCUGAAGGAAACUCUGAACAAUGAUACACAUUUAUAACCACACACACACGCACACACUGGUCUUAUGUUUUGUGGGGAUCACACCUCCUUUUGUUUUCCCCCAACAGCCAGUAGAGGUGAUGCCCCAGUGCCCCCAGUGUGCUCCACUGCUCUGACUGAAAUGGGCUCCCUGCUCCCCUCUGGCCCCCCCACUCUCGCCCAACAACACUGUCCCCUUGCUCGCUCCGGGUUCCCAAGCCCUCGGCCUCCCCCUGACUGGUCCUGACCUGAAAUUAGGGCCAGGCUAGCCUCCCUGGCCAGGCCAGCAUAAAAGGCUGUUGUGUGUGUGUGUGUGUGUGUGUGUGUGUGUGUGUGUGUGUGCACACCAUGGCCCUGAAAGAAAGUAGGAGAUUAUCCCAUUCUGUGUGUCCAGUCACCAGUGCAGUAUUGACCAUGGUGGGCCACCCAGGGAGCAUCCAGCCAGCCGUGAGAUAGCCUGAUAUACAUGCUUACUGGCCGUGCUAGAUUCCCUCACUCUCACCGGGGAGAAGGCCAAACCCUACAGGGUGGACAUUUUCUAAGGACACUGGAGUCUGUACGCGGAGUGACCCACUAUCCAUGCACAGGGACACACUCACACACACACAUUUCAGCGUAGCCUCUGCACAGUGAAAGACAUUGCCAUCAGGUCGUUUUCUGUGUCCUGUGAGGCGAGGCGGAGGUCAUUGGGAAGGUGGAAAACCUCUUUAAUGGUGGGAAUGAUACCAUAACACCUAUAGAUAGAGUUACGGAUCUUGUCACAUACAGUCUGUAUACAGUGUACAACUCCUGAUGGUAAAUGUGAAGACCAGCGUGAAACAUUUUUAGCUUGUGUUGAAAGAUCAAAUUACUUGUUUGUUUUAUUUAUUCUUUUUUAUUUAUUUUUUUUAAUGUUUAAUAUGUCCAAAUAACAUUCUUUUGAUCAAUAAAAAUGCAUGAAUGUGUAAAGACCAUUCAUUUUUCCUGUUUUUGCUGUUAUACAUAUACUGACUUGUGCCUCUUAAUAAAACAGGAAAUACAGUAAAUAAAACAUGGUAAUAUUUUGUGAAUUAAACUUGAGGCUUUCAGCUCAUAAACAUACAAAUACAUGAUUAUGAACACAGCCUUGCAGAGUUUAUAUAAACUCUUUCUAACCUGUCCACUACACUAGUUUAUAACAGCUCCCUGAGUUGUAAAAGCAGCCCAUUGUAGACCUUAACAAACCCUCAGGGGUCAAAUAAUUAUCUUUUAAUUGCUCAGCUGUUUGUUUGUGGAUGGAGAGUCUCUAACAUUCUGGUCCGUUAGCAACACAAAGGCCUUUAACAGCAGGACAGAGAUGCACAAAGCUCACUAGCAGUAAAAACAAAUAAGAGAAUUUAUAGGGAGGAGUGUGUAACUUUUUACUGCAUGUAAACUGCAAUUAAGGAGUUAUCACGAGAGAGCAAUGAAGAUAAGUCAAUUUCAUCUGUUCUUUCAUUUUCUUUGGAUUACUUAACCACGACAAGCUAAAUGUGUUGGAAUAAACAGGCUGGAAUAAAAGGCUUUUAUUUAAAAUUAGCAUUUUGUUUUAUUUUACAUGAACAAAGUUAACCCUUGUGUUGUCUUCCCGGUUCAAGAUUGACCCGGUCUGUUUUGCCUGUUUUAUAAAGCAUAAAGUAUACAUUUUCCAAUUCUGUGUUACAUCUUCUAAGCCAACUUCAUUCCAACUUAUCACCGCUAGUUUUACACUUAUGUUUGGAAUUCAUGGUCUAUAAACCUCAUUCAUAUUAAAAUAUGCCUAAUUUUGAG